Molecule: ribosomal RNA, 451 nt
Filed under: uncultured bacterium
Lineage: Bacteria
Description: bacterial SSU rRNA
Rfam family: Bacterial small subunit ribosomal RNA
Source: RNAcentral
AGCAGUGGGGAAUAUUGCACAAUGGGCGCUAAGCCUGAUGCAGCCAUGCCGCGUGUAUGAAGAAGGCCUUCGGGUUGUAAAGUACUUUCAGCAGUGAGGAAGGUGGGUAUGUUAAUAGCAUAUUCAUUUGACGUUAGCUGCAGAAGAAGCACCGGCUAACUCCGUGCCAGCAGCCGCGGUAAUACGGAGGGUGCGAGCGUUAAUCGGAAUUACUGGGCGUAAAGCGCAUGCAGGUGGUUGUUAAGUCAGAUGUGAAAGCCCGGGGCUCAACCUCGGAAUUGCAUUUGAAACUGGCAAACUAGAGUACUGUAGAGGGGGUAGAAUUUCAGGUGUAGCGGUGAAAAUGCGUAGAGAUCUGAAGGAAUACCGGUGGCGAAGGCGGCCCCCUGGACAGAUACUGACACUCAGAUGCGAAAGCGUGGGGAGCAAACAGGAUUAGAUACCCCGGUAG